GACGAACGCUGGCGGCGUGCCUAAUACAUGCAAGUAGAACGCUGAAACUUGGUGCUUGCACCGAGCGGAUGAGUUGCGAACGGGUGAGUAACGCGUAGGUAACCUGCCUGGUAGCGGGGGAUAACUAUUGGAAACGAUAGCUAAUACCGCAUAAGAGUAGAUGUUGCAUGACAUUUGCUUAAAAGGUGCAAUUGCACCACUACCAGAUGGACCUGCGUUGUAUUAGCUAGUUGGUGGGGUAACGGCUCACCAAGGCGACGAUACAUAGCCGACCUGAGAGGGUGAUCGGCCACACUGGGAGUGGGACACGGCCCAGACGCCUACGGGAGGCAGCAGUAGGGAAUCUGCGGCAAUGGACGGAAGUCUGACCGAGCAACGCCGCGUGAGUGAAGAAGGUUUUCGGAUCGUAAAGCUCUGUUGUAAGAGAAGAACGAGUGUGAGAGUGGAAAGUUCACACUGUGACGGUAGCUGACCAGAAAGGGACGGCUAACUACGUG
Molecule: ribosomal RNA, 497 nt
Filed under: uncultured bacterium
Lineage: Bacteria
Description: partial 16S ribosomal RNA
Rfam family: Bacterial small subunit ribosomal RNA
Source: RNAcentral